AGAGUUUGAUCAUGGCUCAGGACGAACGCUGGCGGCGUGCUUAACACAUGCAAGUCGAACGCUGAAGCUCCCUGCUUGCAGGGGGUGGAUGAGAGGCGAACGGGUGAGUAACACGUGAGUAACCUGCCCCUGACUCUGGGAUAAGCGCUGGAAACGGUGUCUAAUACUGGAUAUGACCUAUCACCGCAUGGUGUGUGGGUGGAAAGAUUUAUCGGUUGGGGAUGGACUCACGGCCUAUCAGCUUGUUGGUGAGGUAAUGGCUCACCAAGGCGACGACGGGUAGCCGGCCUGAGAGGGUGACCGGCCACACUGGGACUGAGACACGGCCCAGACUCCUACGGGAGGCAGCAGUGGGGAAUAUUGCACAAUGGGCGCAAGCCUGAUGCAGCAACGCCGCGUGAGGGAUGACGGCCUUCGGGUUGUAAACCUCUUUUAGUAGGGAAGAAGCGAAAGUGACGGUACCUGCAGAAAAAGCACCGGCUAACUACGUGCCAGCCGCCGCGGUAAUUC
This 510-nucleotide ribosomal RNA is filed under the name uncultured bacterium. Its description in RNAcentral is "bacterial SSU rRNA". It matches the Rfam family "Bacterial small subunit ribosomal RNA", at positions 8 to 526 of the family's 1533-position model. The record is from RNAcentral.